CACACAGUAAACGAUGAAUACUCGCUGUUUGCGAUAUACAGUAAGCGGCCAAGCGAAAGCGUUAAGUAUUCCACCUGGGGAGUACGCCGGCAACGGUGAAACUCAAAGGAAUUGACGGGGGCCCGCACAAGCGGAGGAACAUGUGGUUUAAUUCGAUGAUACGCGAGGAACCUUACCCGGGCUUGAAUUGCAAAUGAACGGCGUGGAGACAUGCCGGCCGCAAGGCAUUUGUGAAGGUGC
RNAcentral lists this ribosomal RNA (240 nucleotides) under uncultured Bacteroides sp. Its description in RNAcentral is "partial 16S ribosomal RNA". It matches the Rfam family "Bacterial small subunit ribosomal RNA", at positions 796 to 1041 of the family's 1533-position model. Lineage: Bacteria; Pseudomonadati; Bacteroidota; Bacteroidia; Bacteroidales; Bacteroidaceae. The record is from RNAcentral.